AGAGUUUGAUCCUGGCUCAGAACGAACGCUGGCGGCACGCCUAACACAUGCAAGUCGAGCGCCCAGCAAUGGGAGCGGCGGACGAGUGAGUAACACGUGGGAACAUGCCUUUCGGUUCGGCACAACUCAGGGAAACUUGAGCUAAUUCCGGAUGCGCCCGUAAGGGGAAAGAUUUAUCGCCGAAAGAUUGGCCCGCGUAAGAUUAGCUAGUUGGUGAGGUAAUGGCUCACCAAGGCAACGAUCUUUAGCUGGUUUGAGAGAACGACCAGCCACGUUGGGACUGAGACACGGCCCAAACUCCUACGGGAGGCAGCAGUGGGGAAUCUUGGACAAUGGGGGAAACCCUGAUCCAGCGAUGCCGCGUGAGUGAUGAAGGCCUUCGGGUUGUAAAACUCUUUUACCCGGGAAGAUAAUGACUGUACCGGGAGAAUAAGCUCCGGCUAACUUCGUGCCAGCCGCCGCGGUAAUAC
Molecule: ribosomal RNA, 470 nt
Filed under: uncultured bacterium
Lineage: Bacteria
Description: bacterial SSU rRNA
Rfam family: Bacterial small subunit ribosomal RNA
Source: RNAcentral